RNAcentral lists this ribosomal RNA (3246 nucleotides) under Clostridioides difficile. RNAcentral's name for it is "bacterial SSU rRNA". The stretch from base 2 to 797 matches the Rfam family "Bacterial small subunit ribosomal RNA", at positions 9 to 873 of the family's 1533-position model. Lineage: Bacteria; Bacillati; Bacillota; Clostridia; Peptostreptococcales; Peptostreptococcaceae. The record is from RNAcentral.
AGAGUUUGAUCCUGGCUCAGGAUGAACGCUGGCGGCGUGCCUAACACAUGCAAGUUGAGCGAUUUACUUCGGUAAAGAGCGGCGGACGGGUGAGUAACGCGUGGGUAACCUACCCUGUACACACGGAUAACAUACCGAAAGGUAUGCUAAUACGGGAUAAUAUAUUUGAGAGGCAUCUCUUGAAUAUCAAAGGUGAGCCAGUACAGGAUGGACCCGCGUCUGAUUAGCUAGUUGGUAAGGUAACGGCUUACCAAGGCGACGAUCAGUAGCCGACCUGAGAGGGUGAUCGGCCACAUUGGAACUGAGACACGGUCCAAACUCCUACGGGAGGCAGCAGUGGGGAAUAUUGCACAAUGGGCGAAAGCCUGAUGCAGCAACGCCGCGUGAGUGAUGAAGGCCUUCGGGUCGUAAAACUCUGUCCUCAAGGAAGAUAAUGACGGUACUUGAGGAGGAAGCCCCGGCUAACUACGUGCCAGCAGCCGCGGUAAUACGUAGGGGGCUAGCGUUAUCCGGAUUUACUGGGCGUAAAGGGUGCGUAGGCGGUCUUUCAAGUCAGGAGUGAAAGGCUACGGCUCAACCGUAGUAAGCUCUUGAAACUGGGAGACUUGAGUGCAGGAGAGGAGAGUGGAAUUCCUAGUGUAGCGGUGAAAUGCGUAGAUAUUAGGAGGAACACCAGUUGCGAAGGCGGCUCUCUGGACUGUAACUGACGCUGAGGCACGAAAGCGUGGGGAGCAAACAGGAUUAGAUACCCUGGUAGUCCACGCUGUAAACGAUGAGUACUNNUUGGUUAGAGCGCCCGGCUCAUAACCGGUAGGUCUGGGGUUCGAGUCCCUGAUGGCCCACCACAUUAAAUUAACUUAUGGUGGGUAUAGCUCAGUUGGUUAGAGCGCCAGAUUGUGGCUCUGGAGGUCGUGAGUUCGACUCUCAUUAUCCACCCCAACUUAUAUGGUCUAUUAGCUCAGUCGGUAGAGCACCUGACUUUUAAUCAGGGUGUCCCGCGUUCGAGUCGCGGAUAGAUCACCAAAAAGGCGGCGACAUAGCCAAGUGGUAAGGCAGUGGACUGCAACUCCUUGAUCCCCAGUUCGAAUCUGGGUGUCGCCUCCAAUAAAAUGCGCUCAUAGCUCAACUGGAUAGAGUGUCUGACUACGAAUCAGAAGGUUAGGGGUUCGAGUCCCUUUGGGCGCACCAUAUGAAUAGCGAGGGAUUAUAGCUCAGCUGGGAGAGCACCUGCCUUACAAGCAGGGGGUCACAGGUUCGAGCCCUGUUAAUCCCACCAGUGCAAACCUCUAGUAAAACUACUAGAGGUUUUAUUUUUGAUUGAAAAAGUUUUUAUAUUUAGGAGGUAAAAAAUUUGUAUAUAGUAAUAGGAAAUGAAAUAGUUGAUAGUGAAGAACUUAAAAUAAUUAUAGAUAAAAAUAGUGAAUUUAAAGUUGAAAAAGAUUUAAGUAAAAGCACAAAAAGAGAAGAUGUAAUAGCAUAUCAGUUAAGUAUAGAUUUAAAUUACCUAGAUUCUCUUAUAAAUGAGCAAUGUAAUUUAGCCAGUCUAUCUGAUGAAGAGAAAUUUGAUGAAUAUAUGACUUUGUCUGAUGAACUUGCACUGGAUUUAGAAGAGUUAAUGCCAAAAUAUACAAUAAUAAAUGCUAGAGCAUAUAAAUUAGACGAGGUAGAUGGAAUUGUAAAAAUAAUACUAGCUGUAGCGUAUGCAGAUUUAGGGCACUUAAAACUUUCUGAUGUAGUAAAGAGGCUAUCUAGACAAGUAGAUUAGGAUAUGAAUAUGAACUAUAUUAAAAAAAUGUAUAAAAUCUUACGUAAAGAUGAAAAUAAUUAUGUAAACAUAGAAAAAAACAGUAUAAAAUCAAGUCAAUUGUAGAAAUUUUCACAUAAAUUCAUCUGAAAUUCUAUAAAAAAUGCCUUAAUUUUAAUGAGGUAAAUCGAGUUUACACAGUCUAAAAAUUACUUAUAUUUAUAAAUUUAUCUUAUUAAUUAAGGAACUUUCUUAAACAUCUUCAAAAAUAAAGUAUUUUAGUCUAUAAUCUUUAAUAUUACACAAACAAUAAAGGAGAAGAAUAGAGUAUGCUUAAAAAGUUUAAUAAAAUACUAGUGGCUAAUAGAGGCGAAAUAGCUAUAAGAAUAUUUAGAGCCUGUUCAGAAUUGGGGAUAAAAAGUGUUGGUAUAUACAGUAAGGAAGAUAAGUAUGGAUUGUUUAGAACAAAAGCGGAUGAAUCAUAUUUGAUAGGAGAAGGUAAAGGGCCAAUAGAUGCAUAUUUAGAUAUGGAUGGAAUAAUAGACCUAGCAAAGAGAAAAAAAGUUGAUGCUAUACAUCCAGGAUAUGGUUUUCUAGCGGAGAAUGCAGAAUUUGCUCGUAAAUGUGAAGAGAAUGGAAUUACUUUUAUAGGACCAUCAUCUAAGGUAAUGAAUAUGAUGGGGGAUAAGAUUAACUCUAAAAAAAUCGCAAAAGAAGUUAAUGUUCAAACUAUACCAGGAGUAGAAAAAGCAAUAAGAAGUACUGAAGAAGCAAAGGAAGUUGCAAACAAAAUAGGAUAUCCUGUUAUGAUAAAAGCAUCUAAUGGCGGUGGCGGUAGAGGUAUGAGAAUUGUACAUCGCGAAGAAGACUUAGAGCUUGAAUAUGAAACUGCUUGUAGUGAAUCAAGAAAAGCUUUUGGAGAAGAUAUUAUAUUUAUAGAAAAAUAUAUAGCUGAUCCAAAACAUAUAGAAGUUCAAAUAUUAGGUGAUAAUUAUGGAAAUAUAGUUCACUUAUAUGAAAGAGAUUGUUCAGUUCAAAGAAGACAUCAAAAAAUAAUAGAAUAUGCACCAGCUUUUUCGUUAGAUGAUAAAGUAAGAAAAGAGAUAUGUGAAGAUGCAGUUAAGUUAUCAAAACAUGUGGGUUAUUCUAAUGCGGGAACAUUAGAAUUUUUAGUAGAUGCAAAUGGUGGGCAUUAUUUUAUAGAGAUGAACACAAGAGUACAGGUUGAACAUACUGUAACAGAGAUGGUUACAGGAAUAGAUAUAGUUCAAAGUCAAAUACUAAUAGCCCAAGGUUACAGCUUAGAUAGUGAAGAAAUUAAUAUAAAAUCACAAGAUGAUGUGGAAAUAAGAGGUUACUCUAUCCAAUGUAGAAUAACUACAGAAGACCCUAAGAAUAAAUUCAUGCCUGAUACAGGUAAAAUUCAAGUUUAUAGAACUGGUUCAGGAUUUGGUAUAAGACUAGAUGGAGGAAAUGGAUUUACAGGGGCAAACAUAAGUCCU